RNAcentral lists this ribosomal RNA (630 nucleotides) under uncultured eukaryote. Its description in RNAcentral is "SSU rRNA". It matches the Rfam family "Eukaryotic small subunit ribosomal RNA", at positions 610 to 1258 of the family's 1831-position model. The record is from RNAcentral.
UUGUUGCAGUUAAAAAGCUCGUAGUUGAACCUUAGGCAAGGCGGCCUGGUCACCCACUGGGUGCACUGGGCUCGCCGCGCCUCACCUGCGGGGAACUAGUCGUGCUUCGGUGCGCUAGGGAACCGCGCCUUACUUUGAAGAAAUUAGAGUGUUUAAAGCAGGCUUUUGCUUGAAUACGCCAGCAUGGAAUAACAGGAUAGGACUUUGGUUCUAUUUUGUUGGUUUGAGGACCAAAGUAAUGAUUAAUAGGGCCAGUCGGGGGCAUUAGUAUUCUAUAGUCAGAGGUGAAAUUCUUGGAUUUAUAGAAGACUAACUAAUGCGAAAGCAUUUGCCAAGGAUGUUUUCAUUAAUCAAGAACGAAAGUUAGGGGAUCGAAGACGAUUAGAUACCGUCGUAGUCUUAACCAUAAACUAUGCCGACUAGGGAUCGGUGGAUGUCGCUUUUGACUCCAUCGGCACCUUACGAGAAAUCAAAGUUUUUGGGUUCUGGGGGGAGUAUGGUCGCAAGGCUGAAACUUAAAGGAAUUGACGGAAGGGCACCACCAGGAGUGGAGCCUGCGGCUUAAUUUGACUCAACACGGGAAAACUCACCAGGUCCGGACAUGGGAAGGAUUGACAGAUUGAGAGCUCU